GUGGGGAAUCUUGCGCAAUGGGCGAAAGCCUGACGCAGCUAUGCCGCGUGAAUGAUGAAGGUCUUAGGAUUGUAAAAUUCUUUCACCGGGGACGAUAAUGACGGUACCCGGAGAAGAAGCUCCGGCUAACUUCGUGCCAGCAGCCGCGGUAAUACGAAGGGGGCUAGCGUUGCUCGGAAUUACUGGGCGUAAAGGGCGCGUAGGCGGACAGCUUAGUCAGAGGUGAAAGCCCAGGGCUCAACCUUGGAAUUGCCUUUGAUACUGGCUGUCUUGAGUUUGGGAGAGGUGAGUGGAACUCCGAGUGUAGAGGUGAAAUUCGUAGAUAUUCGGAAGAACACCAGUGGCGAAGGCGACUCACUGGCCCAAUACUGACGCUGAGGCGCGAAAGCGUGGGGAGCAAACAGGAUUAGAAACCCCGGUAGUCC
This 425-nucleotide ribosomal RNA is filed under the name uncultured bacterium. RNAcentral describes it as "partial 16S ribosomal RNA". It matches the Rfam family "Bacterial small subunit ribosomal RNA", at positions 354 to 796 of the family's 1533-position model. The record is from RNAcentral.